AUUGAACGCUGGCGGCAUGCUUUACACAUGCAAGUCGAACGGUAACAGGUUAUGCUGACGAGUGGCGAACGGGUGAGUAAUGCAUCGGAACGUGCCCGAUCGUGGGGGAUAACGCAGCGAAAGCUGCGCUAAUACCGCAUACGAUCUGAGGAUGAAAGCGGGGGACCGUAAGGCCUCGCGCGAUCGGAGCGGCCGAUGUCAGAUUAGGUAGUUGGUGGGGUAAAGGCUCACCAAGCCAACGAUCUGUAGCUGGUCUGAGAGAACGACCAGCCACGCUGGGAGUGAGACACGGCCCAGACUCCUACGGGGGGCAGCAGUGGGGAAUUUUGGACAAUGGGCGAAAGCCUGAUCCAGCAAUGCCGCGUGCAGGAGGAAGGCCUUCGGGUUGUAAGCUGCUUUUGUACGGAGCGAAAAGGCUCUCUCUAAUACAGGGGGCUCAUGACGGUACCGUAAGAAUAAGCACCGGCUAACUACGUGCCAGCCGCCGCAGUAA
RNAcentral lists this ribosomal RNA (493 nucleotides) under uncultured bacterium. RNAcentral's name for it is "partial 16S ribosomal RNA". It matches the Rfam family "Bacterial small subunit ribosomal RNA", at positions 29 to 523 of the family's 1533-position model. The record is from RNAcentral.